This is a small nucleolar RNA of Magnolia sinica, 81 nucleotides long. RefSeq annotates it as small nucleolar RNA U83. The record is from RefSeq and is a predicted model, not a curated record. NCBI's taxonomy places the organism in Eukaryota, Viridiplantae, Streptophyta, Magnoliopsida, Magnoliales, Magnoliaceae. The transcript has a single exon.
AGUCAGUGAUGAAGAAAGUGGUGUUUAUUUUUGUCUGAAAUUAAAUGAUUAUUGCCAUACUACUGCCUUCCUUCUGAGGCU